AUUUUAUUAUGAAAUAAUAUAAAUAUAUAUCCACACAUUCACACUGAUACAGAAUUAUACAUACAGAGAAAGAUUGGGGAGAGGAAAAGGACUGGGAAGGUAAAGAGGAAAGUUCAUAUUUAAUCCCAUAUACUGAAAAUCUGCCUUUGUGUUUUACAACAGGAAUGUAUACGUUGUAUAAAAGGCAGAGAAAAGGAGAAAAAACAGUCUCUUCUCCAAUAUGUGUAAGGAAUCUAAUUUUAGGUAGUAUUUCUGGUUUAAUGAUUGAUAUAAUGGGCAAAUCUGCUUUCUAUUUCGGAUGAGAAACAAAGCAAAACAAAACACCCUAGCUUUUGACAUAAUCUGCAUGCCUUGCCAUAGAUGUUAGCCAACAAACCAAAACUUCUCCUCACCUCAAAAUGACAUAAUUUCUUUCCUAUUACACUUAAGAUCCUGGAAUCAUGUAGUUCACUGCAUUCUUCAAUCUUGAAUAAAAGUGCUAGACUACUGGCAAUGCUAUUCUCUUUCAAAGAGCUUCUUUCCCAUUAUGCCCAUGUUUUUACUUUGAGGACUGAAUGCUCAUUCCACUUUAAAAUAAAGCUUAACUAUAAUUUUAUUUUAUACUUUAGUUACUGAUAUUACCUUGUGACUUGAGAUGAAGACUAAAAGGAAAAGUAAAAUAACAGUUUGGCUCACAUUGUUGGAAUUUAAGUUAAUAUGACUCAUACUAGCAAUUAGCUUCUUGUCCUGAAAGGUAAAUAUCAGUGUAUUUACUGACGCUUUGAGGUAUGGGAGUAAGGAGACAACGCCACCAAAUUAUGUGGUAUAAGUUUAAGCUCUUAAGUUACCAAGGAAAAACUUAAAAGGAUCCACUUGCCAGUUACUUACCAAUAUGAUCAUCUAACAAACACCUAUUAUGAGCAACCCCUAUGCUAAGUUCCAUGAAGGACAGCAAUAUAAGAUAUAAUCUUUUUUUUGUUAAACGAUGUGCAUACGUGAGAUAAUAUGGAAAGUUGAAUCUAAGAAAGCCUGGCUUGGGAGGUAUUCAAGUGGUCGUGGUAGAGUUAAAGAUACCCAGAAGUCUUCUAAGAAGCACAAAACAUGAUUCCUGUACUCAGAGACAUGCAGUCCUAUUCACAUGCAAAGAGGACCUACACUGGCUAUUGCCAAGUAUCAAGCGAGGUGAGUGCUAUCAUAAGUCACAGAAUGGAUACAUUAUUUGAGUAGUCAGAUAAAUCUCACAGCAUGAGGCAUAAGAUGUCUAAUAAUGUCUAGAAAGCAAUUGGAAAUAUGUGAUUAAAGCUUGGGAAUGAACACUGGGUUAAAGAUAGACACUUUGGAGUCAUUUGCAUGGCUGUGAUAAAUAAGAUUUGAAAUAGAAGAUAAACAGAAUGAAAAGUAAAGGAAGAUUAAAAUCUGAAGAAAACAGCAAGACACUGUAAAAAUAAAGACAGUUAUAGAACUGACAUGUUCACAAAUAUUAAGCAAAACAAGAGUUAACUAAGUGGACUGCAUUCAAAAAGUUUAAGUAAUCUUUUUAACUUUUGCUUGGAAUAUUGCUGAUCCUUGUUUUGUUUUUCAGAGUCAAGGAAACUUAUUUUAAACUAUUAAUGGCCAUUAAUAAUUGAGUAAGGUAUACUACUGUAAACAAAAUUUGGAGCAUGUUCAUUUAUCUCCACCUGGUUCCUCUAAAAUUUGGAGACUACCUGUAAGUACUCUUAACUUAUGGCAGUAUAGUUGUUUGCAUCAGUGCAAUAAGAAUGCAUUUUUCUUUGUCAACAGGACACAAUUGGAUAAACUGGUUAUUUUACCAAGGCUUUGGCUGAAAUGGUGUGUUUCCCUUUAAGGAAUCAAGCUUGACAUGCAGAGCCAAUAAAAGCCCCUUGGAGAACUGGCCUCAUACCUUGUCUAUACAGUCCCCGCACAGGGUUCCUAACCUGUAGUCAAUAAAGAAUGUCACUUUCUAACAGGUCUGGAAGCUCGGAGUUUCUCUUGGGACCUCAAGAAGUGAGGAUCACCCAACUCACAGAAGCAAUCAAACUCCAAAUGGUGCUGCAAACUGAACCCCACAUGGACACGCCAUUCUUCUGAGGACCCUUAGAUCCACCCCAGGAGGAGCCCUAGCUGCUGUUCCCCAUUCGAUGCCCCUUUUCAGCCGAGGUGAUAACUGGAAGAGAGCAGAAAGGGAGCAUCUGGGAUACUGCUCUAAGAGCAGGACUGCCAUAUGAGGAUGCAGAGACUGUGCCUUGUGAAACUCCAGGGGCACCAUUCAUACAAGCCAACUGGACUCCAAGUGCCACGAGAACAGAGAUUGGGUCUGGUCCCCAGCUUCAGUGCCUCCAAGGCAGAAACUCAAGAGACGUUGUUGAACUGUCAGCCUUUACAUUUAUGCAUUACUAUUGAAGGCCUGGAAUAAAUGGAUC
Homo sapiens (human) is the source of this 2402-nucleotide long non-coding RNA. Ensembl annotates it as CLCA4 antisense RNA 1. Its record names the gene CLCA4-AS1. NCBI's taxonomy places the organism in Eukaryota, Metazoa, Chordata, Mammalia, Primates, Hominidae. The record is from Ensembl.